Molecule: non-coding RNA, 109 nt
Organism: Acanthosepion pharaonis
Lineage: Eukaryota; Metazoa; Mollusca; Cephalopoda; Sepiida; Sepiidae
Source: the annotation of a GenBank genome assembly
GCCAUGUCAUGUUGAAAGACCUGUUCUCAUACGAUCACCGAGGUUAAGCAAAGUCGAACCUGGUCAGUACUUACAUGGGUGAUCGCUUAGGAAUACCAGGUGCUGUAAG